ACAGAUCAGGAUGCUCAACAAAGG
This 24-nucleotide non-coding RNA is filed under the name Arabidopsis thaliana (thale cress). The record is from RNAcentral. Lineage: Eukaryota; Viridiplantae; Streptophyta; Magnoliopsida; Brassicales; Brassicaceae.